UGUCCCGUGGUGUAUUGGCCGCACAGGGGUUUUUGAUACCCUUAGUCCUGGUUCGAAUCCAGGCGGGACAACCA
This 74-nucleotide transfer RNA is filed under the name Kiritimatiellia bacterium. RNAcentral describes it as "Kiritimatiellae bacterium (gut metagenome) tRNA-Gln". It matches the Rfam family "tRNA". Rfam says of the family: Transfer RNA (tRNA) molecules are approximately 80 nucleotides in length. Their secondary structure includes four short double-helical elements and three loops (D, anti-codon, and T loops). Lineage: Bacteria; Pseudomonadati; Kiritimatiellota; Kiritimatiellia. The record is from RNAcentral.